GUGUCCGUAACUCAGUUGGUUUAGAGUGCCACCAUGACAUGGUGGAAGUCAGUGGUUCAAAUCCACUCGGACACA
Molecule: transfer RNA, 75 nt
Filed under: Buchnera aphidicola (Melaphis rhois)
Lineage: Bacteria; Pseudomonadati; Pseudomonadota; Gammaproteobacteria; Enterobacterales; Erwiniaceae
Description: tRNA-Val
Rfam family: tRNA
About the family: Transfer RNA (tRNA) molecules are approximately 80 nucleotides in length. Their secondary structure includes four short double-helical elements and three loops (D, anti-codon, and T loops).
Source: RNAcentral